GAACGCACAUUGCGCCCCUUGGUAUUCCGUAGGGCAUGCCUGUUCGAGCGUCAUUCAAACCUUCAAGCUCUGCUUGGUGUUGGGCGUCUGUCCUGCCUCACGGCGCGGACUCGCCUCAAAUCUAUUGGCGGCCGGCACGUUGGCUUCGAGCGCAGCAGAAACGCGAACUCGGGCCCGACGGAUCGGCUCCCAGAAGCUACCCCCAUGAAUUUGACCUCGGAUCAGGUAGGGAUACCCGCUGAACUUAAG
This 249-nucleotide unclassified non-coding RNA is filed under the name Preussia flanaganii. RNAcentral's name for it is "sequence contains 5.8S rRNA gene". The record is from RNAcentral. Lineage: Eukaryota; Fungi; Ascomycota; Dothideomycetes; Pleosporales; Sporormiaceae.